GAAAUAGCAGUUAUAUCCAAGGCACGUUCUUCAAUUUAUGGAGUCACCAGAAUACAAUAGGUUUACACAUAUAGUCUUCGAUACUGCUCCCACGUGUUCUUGCAGGGACAUACUUUGCGGCU
This is a long non-coding RNA of Brassica oleracea var. oleracea, 122 nucleotides long. RefSeq lists it as uncharacterized. The transcript is spliced from 3 exons. The record is from RefSeq and is a predicted model, not a curated record. NCBI's taxonomy places the organism in Eukaryota, Viridiplantae, Streptophyta, Magnoliopsida, Brassicales, Brassicaceae.